AAAACACAAAGCCAAAGAUGAACAGCCAGCAGCCAUACCACCAGCCGGCUACUCUAGAAGAAGUGCGUACCCUUUGGAUUGGGGAUUUACCAUACUGGGCUGACGAGUCCUAUCUCCAUAGCUGGUUUGCUCACACUGCUGAGGUGCUCUCAAUAAAAGUUAUCCGCAACAAAAUCACUGGCCAACCUGAGGGCUAUGGAUUUGUGGAAU
RNAcentral lists this unclassified non-coding RNA (210 nucleotides) under Hevea brasiliensis (rubber tree). The record is from RNAcentral. Lineage: Eukaryota; Viridiplantae; Streptophyta; Magnoliopsida; Malpighiales; Euphorbiaceae.